RNAcentral lists this ribosomal RNA (279 nucleotides) under uncultured bacterium. RNAcentral's name for it is "partial 16S ribosomal RNA". It matches the Rfam family "Bacterial small subunit ribosomal RNA", at positions 506 to 784 of the family's 1533-position model. The record is from RNAcentral.
UGCCAGCCGCCGCGGUAAUACGGAGGGUGCGAACGUUAAUCGGAAUUACUGGGCGUAAAGCGCGCGUAGGCGGCUUGUUAAGUCAGAUGUGAAAGCCCCGGGCUCAACCUGGGAAUUGCAUUUGAAACUGGCAGGCUAGAGUGCAGUAGAGGAAGGUGGAAUUCAGGGUGUAGCGGUGAAAUGCGUAGAUAUCCUGAGGAACACCGGUGGCGAAGGCGGCCUUCUGGACUGACACUGACGCUGAGGUGCGAAAGCGUGGGGAGCAAACAGGAUUAGAUA